Gasterosteus aculeatus aculeatus (three-spined stickleback) is the source of this 1720-nucleotide long non-coding RNA. Lineage: Eukaryota; Metazoa; Chordata; Actinopteri; Perciformes; Gasterosteidae. The record is from Ensembl.
GUUAGUAAUUAUGUAUCCUCAUUUUGUUGACAAAUUUGAUCAUUCACACCAAGUGACGUUAAGUAAACUAGUGUAGCGACUGUACAACAAAGUCAAAUCCACUCGGAUAAUACCAGUAACCUGGCAACCUUGCGCGUGCUCAGGACUGACGUCAGAAGAGAAUUAGCGCCUUUUCCCUUCAGCGAUUAAACGACAAGAGAGAAACUUCCUGGACCGCAGCCAUUGAGGUGGCCAAAUGAAGUGAACGUGGUCUGCGUGGCUACCACGUGUCAAUCGUACCUUCAAAUCCGACAGCUGUGAGGGAAGAAGAGGAGGGGGAACAGAGAGCGAGCAGGAAGGAAACAGAGUGAGCAAAAAGGCAGUAGGACGACCGCCAAUGCAAUGAUAAUUAUAGUCUCCGGAAGACAAAAAAACCCCUCAGAUCAACAUAAAAUAAAGACAUAUUGAGCUAUGAAUUUUUGCCCGAGGUGAAUGCUGACAGUAUCUCUCUGUGCUAUCCAAAUCUGUCCCAGAGAUUAUUCCUCAAUUUUAGUCCUCUGGAGGAGAAACCCCUGCACUACAUCUCAUCCACGGGCACAGCCAUCACUCACAUGGUCAUAUUUGAAUUAGGUGUCUAGACAUAAAGUUUGCCAAAGGACUCCUCUGCUCCGAGGGGUUCCGCAGAGCCCUCGUCCUCUAUCGUCCUGAUAGAGUCCCAGGAAGGGAAUGGAAUUCAGGUGUAAAUGAAUACGAUCUGAAGGGGUUUCCUGGGAAUGGUCGGCUGACGUCCCCAAAAGACUCUUUUUCAGGAUGGGAAAGAAAAAACACAAGAUACAACAGAAACCGUGAGGUUGUGAGUUAGAGUGUAAGAUACAAAGCGGUAACAAACAAUAGUGUAUCGAAAGGGACGACGUAAAGGUCAACCAAGCAACACUCAUGACUACUAAAGGAAGUAUAAAUAUGUAUGACUCCACCUCCCAGCACAGGUAGGUAGUGCAUGCAGUACGCCUCGCUUAUUUAAAUAAGGGAUAAAUGCUCUUGUGAGACAUUAAGAAUGGAAACCAUCCAACCACAGGUCUGAUCAUGACUUGAAAUCUCAAUUAUGACCUUGUGUGUGAAACAUACUUAGGAUGUAGGGUUGCUCACUUAGGACCUUGUUUACAUUAGAUAGCGGCCGACAUAGCAAUAAGCUGCCUGGGUCACACUCUUAACUUCAUGAAAAGAGUAAGCAACUACACACAUUAUGAUCAUUUAUAGAUUCAAGUCGCUAUUAUCAUAUUUUAACUGGGCAAUUUACUGAUGCAUCUACAUGGCCUGCAUAUGUAAAGGUAAGUCGGCUAUAACUUUAUGGGGAACAUACAUCUAAAUAAUAUUCUGGACCACGGUUGUGGGCCGGCUGACCCACCAAUAGGCCAACAUUACCACAGCUACUUAAAAAUAACGCUUAAAGAUGCUCCCAGAGGGUCAUUUGCUAUGGCUUGGCAAAGGAUUUUUGUUCAUGUUAAUGGGUUCUAUGAUAAUGAGUUUCUAUGCCAGAUGUUUGAUCAUUGUGCAACGUUAACAUGCAGCGCAUUUGAAAUUGGGCAGGGAUUUUUUUGAAUGCAAUGUUAGUGCUAAAUUCCUACAUUUACAAACCGUGAUCCAAAUUGCAGCAGAAAACCAAUUGAUUUAAUUUACCAUCACGGACAUCAGUAAAUGGAUGCCUCUUCCAUUUGGAGCUGAAAACCAACCUGUGACCAAG